RNAcentral lists this long non-coding RNA (218 nucleotides) under Prunus persica (peach). Its description in RNAcentral is "long non-coding RNA (PPER_LNC001991)". The record is from RNAcentral. Lineage: Eukaryota; Viridiplantae; Streptophyta; Magnoliopsida; Rosales; Rosaceae.
CAAAAGAAGGGGACACAAAGAGCAACUCCCUACCAUAAUGAAUGGGAUGAGGAACACCACUAGUGUCAAAGUUUAUAUCCAAGUCUGAAUUAAACCUCGCUACCAGCUUCUCUCACCCGAACUACUCCUCGACCAUUGCAUCAAGCACAAGGUUCUUGAACCCCUCAGAACCCUUGUACUCCUCGACGGCCUUGGCACGAGCCGCAGCUAGCUCCUCC